RNA transcript from Cornus florida, 1835 nucleotides. It is a transcript of the gene named transcription initiation factor TFIID subunit 8-like, with no coding region annotated. Lineage: Eukaryota; Viridiplantae; Streptophyta; Magnoliopsida; Cornales; Cornaceae. The transcript is spliced from 2 exons. The record is from RefSeq and is a predicted model, not a curated record.
CAAUCAUCUUCCCUAAGCUUGGCACUUGGCACUUGGCACUUGGCACUCUAUAAUUAACAGACGUGAACCCAUCUUGAACUCAGCUUCCCUCUCUCUCUCUCUCUCUUUCUGUCUCUGGCUUAUCCUCCUCCCGAUCCAGGGGUUUUACUAGGGCUUAACGUUAAUUCACCAAUCCUAUCGAACCCUUAUCUUUCACUAGCACAGCUAAUGCUAUCCAAUUUCUGAUUAGGGUUUCCUUUUCCACAUAAUCCAUUCAAUCUUGAAUCAAAAUUCGGCUGAACUCCAGAUUCAAUCGCAGAAACCCUAUAAAUAAAUCAGUCUAGGUUUUGCUGGAUUCUUUCUGUACUGAAGUGUUGUUAAUUCUAACGAUGAUCAGUCGCUGAAAGAUGCGAAUGGUCUUUUUGGGGAUUUUGCUUAUUUGAAGUGACAUGAAGUGUCGAGUAUGAGCGAUGGAGGUGCGGAGAGUGGAAGAGACUACCAACACAACACUAUCAAGAAGAAUUCAGGAGGAACUGACGAUUUUGCCCAAUCGAUUGCAAAAAUUGCUGUAGCGCAGGUUUGCGGGAGUGUAGGGUUUCAGAGUUUUCAGCACUCAGCUCUCAACACGCUCGCUGACGUCGCCGUCCGAUAUAUUUCCCACUUAGGGAAGACUGCAAUUCUCUAUGCGAAUUUGGCCGGUAGGAAUGAGUGUAACGUGUUCGACAUAAUUCAGGGAUUGGAAGAUUUGGGAUCGCAACAGGGAUUUUUGGGUGCUUCAGAUAUUAAUAGCUGCCUUGCAGUUUCUGGCAUUGUUCAGGAGAUUAUUCGGUAUGUUGGUGAAGCUGAGGAAAUCCCAUUUGCGCAUUCGAUUCCACGUUUUCCGAUUGUUAAAGACUCGAAGCCAAUGUCAAGCUAUAUGCAAAUCGGAGAAACGCCACCGGCCGAGCACGUACCGGCAUGGUUACCUGCCUUUCCUGAUCGCAUGACUUACGUAAACUCGCCCUUGCAGCAUGAGAGAGAAGCAGAUACUCAGUCGGAUAAGAUUGCGGAGGCUAAAGAGCAGAAGGUAGAACGGCCGUUGAUGAAUUUGCAGCAGGAGUUGGCUUCUAAUGGGUCUGAGGUGCCAACAGCAGUUGACCCAGGAGAUGCUGCUAAGGCAAAACGAGCUGCGGAUUGCAACCCGUUUCUUGCAGCACCAAUGCAAUUUGGGGAGAAGGUAGUGUCUUCAGUUCUUCUUCCGCCUAAGCUUUUGGAUGAAGCUGUCAUGCAAAAUCGUGCAGUUAUUGAAAAUCAUGUUUCAGUAUUGGAUACGUUUGCCCCCGCUUUUGAAGCGGUGAAGGACAGGUUAUGUGAUCCUGAAGAGGGUGGGAAGCAGGUUCUUUUGAAGAAGAGGCCAACUGUGCAAUUUAAGUUUGGGACUGGUAAGAAGUCCUUCAUUACAGCAAUGAGCCUCCAAAAUGAAGGUAAUGAGAAAACUGCCUCUUGAUUUGGGAAUGAAAAUUUGAAAGAUGACAAGAAAAGGAGGGCCGGGCAAAUUAUAAAGGAAUCCAUGGAAAUCUCGCAGGAACUGACUCAAUUGUAAAUUAGGUCUGUUUGAUUAGAAUUUGUAUACUUAUUAAGGAACCAGCAUCAGAUGCUGCUUCCACUGUAGUCAAAGUCGGGGAGCAUAGAUUUGUCUAUAUACAGGCAUUAGAGACUGCUAGAGGAAAAUGUCCCCAUUUUUACACGUUUCCAAGAUGCUUAACAAAACAAGAACCUUACCUUUGAAAGCAUUUGAUAUCUUCUUCACAGGAGAUGGCAAGUCUUCUAUGUAGAAUGUAGCAUCAAGAACGGAAACAGGACUUGGUUGGUCCAAG